This 305-nucleotide ribosomal RNA is filed under the name uncultured bacterium. RNAcentral describes it as "bacterial SSU rRNA". It matches the Rfam family "Bacterial small subunit ribosomal RNA", at positions 337 to 640 of the family's 1533-position model. The record is from RNAcentral.
UCCUACGGGGGGCAGCAGUGAGGAAUAUUGGUCAAUGGGAGAGAUCCUGAACCAGCCAAGCCGCGUGAGGGAAGACGGCCCUAUGGGUUGUAAACCUCUUUUGUCGGAGAACAAAACCCGGGACGUGUCCCGGACUGCGUGUAUCCGAAGAAAAAGCAUCGGCUAACUCCGUGCCAGCAGCCGCGGUAAUACGGAGGAUGCGAGCGUUAUCCGGAUUUAUUGGGUUUAAAGGGUGCGCAGGCGGAAGAUCAAGUCAGCGGUAAAAUUGAGAGGCUCAACCUCUUCGAGCCGUUGAAACUGGUUUU